CUGGCUCAGGACAAACGCUGGCGGCGUGCCUAACACAUGCAAGUCGAACGAAGCACUGUGGAAAGAGACUCGGUCAAUUGAAACUUGACUUAGUGGCGGACGGGUGAGUAAUGCAUGAGCAACCUGCCCUGGAGAGGGGGACAACAGCUGGAAACGGCUGCUAAUACCGCAUGAUGUCACCGGGAGGCAUCUUCUGGUGACCAAAGAUUUAUCGCUCUGGGAUGGGCUCAUGUCUGAUUAGAUAGUUGGCGGGGCAACGGCCCACCAAGUCUGCGAUCAGUAGCCGGACUGAGAGGUUGAACGGCCACAUUGGGACUGAGAUACGGCCCAGACUCCUACGGGAGGCAGCAGUGGGGAAUAUUGGGCAAUGGGCGCAAGCCUGACCCAGCAACGCCGCGUGAAGGAAGAAGGCUUUCGGGUUGUAAACUUCUUUUAUCAGGGACGAAGGAUGUGACGGUACCUGAUGAAUAAGCCACGGCUAACUACGUGCCAGCCGCCGC
RNAcentral lists this ribosomal RNA (500 nucleotides) under uncultured bacterium. RNAcentral's name for it is "bacterial SSU rRNA". It matches the Rfam family "Bacterial small subunit ribosomal RNA", at positions 19 to 518 of the family's 1533-position model. The record is from RNAcentral.